UAAUCUGCGAGGGGUGGCGCAAAGCUAGUUAAACUUAAGCGUAUCCUCAAAGGAGGUUCCUUGAUACUGGUCAAGGGCUCUUGAUCUAAGGAGCUGGAUCUAGUGUUGUAUGACUCCUUCGGGUUUAGCGUUUCUCCAAAGGCGGCGCCAGAAUUUCUACACUGGGGGAGACUUUGGGUGGCUGUCUGUUAGGAAAGGCUAGGAAUCUUGUUUUGGAGCGGCAGUAUUGUUUUAAGAUUGAAGACAGUUUUGUUGUGAAAAACUGUAACUAAAAGCCUUCAGUAAAGUUCCUGAAAGCUGUCACCUAAACUUUUCGCUUCAAUUCCUUCAACAUGAAUCGUAGUAUCAAAGGAAGAUCAUCUCGACCACCUGGGUCUCUUGGAGCCGAACUUGAAAACCAGUUUAUUCUCAGAUUAUUGUCUCCUCAAGCAAGUGUACUAAGAGAGGCUAUAAGACAAGGCCAAACAAACAUCAAAGAUCGUUUGGCAAUUCAGCUGGACUUCACCAAUGAUAAAGAUGACAUGCGAAAUGGUGUCAUUACCUUUGACACCAUCAUGUACAGAGCAAGACCAGGUUGCACUGAACGUUUCUAAAGUACUUUCACAAGCUAACACCAGAGUCGCCAUCGCUUCCAGCACUUCAAUAAAUGUUCUAACCAGGACAAAAUCCAAGCACCAUGAACCAGUCAAUGCAGGGGUUUACACUAUACCCUGUGGAGGAUGCGACAAGAUAUAUGUAGGUGAAACAGCAAGAAACCUCGACACCCGCCUCAAUGAACACAUUUAUGCCUGUAGGAAUGAUAACUUGAACAACGCCUGUGUACAACACCAGAAUUCCACCAACCAUCUCAUAAAAUUCAGGGACGCCCAAUUAGUUAUCAAAGAAACUAAUUUCUGCAGACGCAAGUGCCUUGAAUCAUCGCUAAUCGCUGUUUCUAAUAUAAUUAAGGAAAACAAAGGCAGCUUCACUAUCUCUGAAGUCUUAGCAAGAAUCCUCCUGAAAACUAAACCCUGCCAUCACAUAGUCUCCUGCUAAUACUACACUAGCACAUUACAGAGGAUGAACACUGAAAGAGGCCUUCUCUAAUUCAACCUCCAAUAGAAAUAUUUAUCUAACAUAUUUUUAUGCUACCCAAGUAAUAGCUUUUAUAUCCUUUUAUUCAUGUGCAAAUUAAUUGUAUUACUACUGCUACUACAACUUAUAUUACUACUUCUACUACUACUACUACCACUAGUAUUACACCUCACUCUAAGCCUAUAUAUACCCUCUGUGUCCAUAUAUUGUUUGUAACGGCGUGACAAAGCUCCUGGAGAGCGAAACGUUGCCACAUUAAAAAUGUCACAUUAGUUGCACUUGUGUCCUUUUACUUUACGAAUUUUGCUCAGUUCAGGUACUUUUCAGGCAGACUGGAAUGUAGUCUGCAAGUUUUGCAUUCAUAAUAUUGCCUAUCCACAGGUUUUGUUUUUAUAUAACAUUGCUUGUUAUCAGUGAGUCCGGUUCAAGAUACCAUGGCUUGUAUGUCAUUUCAUGAACUUAUACAGUGGUACCUCGAGUUUCAAAGUGCUCCUAACUCGAGCAAUUAUGUAAGUGUAUUUUUGGGGGUCUGAAAUGGACUAAUCUAAUUUACAUUAUUCGUUUGGUAUUGGCACUCUAACAGCCUUCUGGAAUGAAUUAAGUUCGUAACUCGAAGUACCACUGUACUAUACAUAUAAGAACCCCAGCUAGCUUUGUAGUACAAUAGCUGAGCUUCUGGCACUGCUAACUUUCAUGUAAUAUCUGACUCCGAUGUGAAGGCUAUUUGUAACAUACUGCUGUCAUUUUAUUUUCCAGAUUUUUAUUUAAUAUUUUACUUGAUUCAAUUAUAUACAAUACAUGUACUACGUAUACAGUGGAACCUCGGUUUUCAUGAUUAACAGAAAAUACAUUUUAUAGAGAAUAACUACAGUUUUACAUACAGAAAACAGCGAGAAAUAUAUGUAAAUGACUAAUGAAAUGGAAAAAGGAACAUUUAACAUCACUUUUACCUUUAUUGGUGAAUGGAAGACAACGAGGAGGGUAUAGGGAGGAGGAAAGGUUAUUGUUUGGAAGGGGAAUCUCCCUCCAUAAGGACUACAGGUAUUAAGACCCUAUCUGGGGUUACUUCCCUUCUUUGUCUUUUACUGGCACUAGGACCAGCUUGAGAGUCACUGGACCCCUGUUGCACAAAAAAAUCUGUCCAGAGAGGUCUGUUUCUGGCAUCUUUAAAAUUUGCCUAAAAUGGGACUAGGCAUUGUCAUUGAACAUGUUGCAGACAUGGCUUGCAAUAGCUUUGUUAGGGUGAUAUUUGUCUACAAAACUUUGCAACUCAUUCCACUUUGCACACAUGUCCUUUAUCACUGAAGAAGACACAUUCUUACAAUGCUCACUCAAUGAGAAACAAAGCCAGACUGAGUCAGAACACGUGGGAUGCUUUGUGUGGGCACGGGCAGGCAGAUGCAUUUGGUACGGCAGAGCAUUGUCAACUCUAUGAAAACUGAGCAGAUGUACAAAAUCUGGGACAAAAUUUUGACAAGAAAAGUCGUUGAAAACCGAAUCCUACGAAAACCAGGGCAUGCGAAAACUGAAGUUCCAUUGUACUGUAAAUAUAUGAUAUGUUUAAGAGUCCAUUCCGUAGUUCUACUGCUUUGAAGCUGGGGUCCAAGCCAAAGUACUACAUCAUGAGCUCAGCUCACUCAGAAAAGCUGUGAGCAGUAAAUUUGGGUCUAGAUAUGAGAAAAUGCAUCUAUAUGGUAAGUGUGCACCAUAUAAAACAAAUCCUGCUCCACGCAGUGCAUAAUGAGAAAAAAGUGCAACUCUGUUUUUUGGAUUAAAACAGUGACUUUGUGGUGUAUUUUCAUUGUGUUUUUUACUGCUGUAUUUGCAGUUUCUUAGCCUCAUUUGAUAGCAUGGAGAAUGUUAUAGAAAUAGAGAUGAUUUUGAUUGGUUUUAGUACUGAAAAUAGCUUGAAAUAGAGCUCAGAGUAGCGGAAUUGUUCAAUUUUUGCCGAUGUUCAAGAGUAAAUAAAUCACAUCACGUGGUCAAUACACAUGCAUUCACUAUACAUUAUUGCAUGACAGUAAAUCUUCUGUUUUUUUGAUGUGACUAAAAAUUCUUCAUGUGAAUAAAAAAUCAAAAUGGAAUUCAUUUGUAAAGCCUGGAAACAUAAUUAAUAAACAGAGGAAACAUUAUUUCAGUGCC
Cherax quadricarinatus is the source of this 3216-nucleotide non-coding RNA. The record is from RefSeq and is a predicted model, not a curated record. Lineage: Eukaryota; Metazoa; Arthropoda; Malacostraca; Decapoda; Parastacidae.